This 2792-nucleotide long non-coding RNA is filed under the name Sus scrofa (pig). RNAcentral describes it as "lncRNA (ENSSSCG00045025158.1)". Lineage: Eukaryota; Metazoa; Chordata; Mammalia; Artiodactyla; Suidae. The record is from RNAcentral.
UUUUUUUUUUUUUUUUUUUUUUUUUUACUCCAUUUUUCCUCUCUCCUCUCCACCCCACCAAAACCAUCUCUUAAAAUGUACUUACAUGGCUAAGAAAGACUUUUUAUACCGUUGCACUCUGUUGAAUGCCAGGAAUUGGAGGUUUUAGCAGGGGUGGCCCAGAUAGGGGUUAGUGAUGAGUGCCCACUGGCUUUCCCGGAGGGCUUGGGGGCAAAAUAGUUUCUUGUGGGGCUGAUUUCACCCCUCCCUUUAGCAGGACUGGAAGAAGAAUAUGGAGGAGAUUAAAGGAAGCUACACCCUCCAUCCUCUGGCCCUUCUACUUCUUUCUGAGAACUAGGAUGAACAGAUCCAUCUCAUCCUUCAAUGGCUCUGACAAGUCCUGGAAAAUGGCAGUGAGGUAUCUUAAACCGAUAUUAUUGGAGGCCAGGGAGAAAUCAGGGAGACAGUGUCAGGUUGUAUUUAGAUUUGGGUAUUUACCCUCAAGAGUACUGUGUAUUUUUUUAAUUUUUAUUUAUUUAUUUAUUUAUUUAUUUAUUUUGGCUUUUUAGGGCUGCAUCCAUGGCAUAUGGAGUGGUUCAAGAAAAGGCAAAAAGACCAAAAAAAGAAAAAAGAAAAAAUUAUUUUGGGACCCAAAGUAGAUGUUGACAUUUAUAUGAAGGCCACACAGACCCACCAACUGUCUUUCUGUGCAUUGCCGUGCUAUUUAAAGGGCCAACCACCCCUUGACAGUUAACAUGCUUUAUUUACUAAGAGUAAAUAUUUUGGGGGUAGCAGUAUUCUUUCUGGGGUUAAAAAAUAAUUUGGUAGCUGUCAAGAGAGCCAAGCAGAAGGAACAUAGCUUUCCCCCUCCUUUUUAAUCUGCUUUGAUGACAUGGUAACCAAAUAACCAAGCCGUGCCUCUGUCCUCAAAAUACAUUGAAUCAGAGUCUCUAGGGCGGGGCCAGGUCAUUGGCACUUUGGUGAAGCUCCUCUGAUGAUUCUAUUGUGCAGGCAGGGUUGAGAAACCACUUGUCUGAAGUCUCACCAGUUUGAACCGGUAUUAGGGGGAAACUUGGUCAGAAAGGAAACACAGGUAAAUGAGCUAUGAAAUGUUAAUGUGUUACUUUAUAAAUUGCUUCACUGAAUUAAGGGUAUGAGUGUGCAUCCAGGAAAUGAUGGGAUGUUUUCAAGGGUUAUGAGCAGAGAGGUGACAUGAUCUGUUUUAUGUUAUAAGGAGAUCAUUUCUUUGAUGGAGAAUAUACUAAGGCAGGUAAGGAAGGAAAUCAGAGAGACCAGCUAGGUGGCUAUUCUGAUAAGCUAGGAAAGAGAUGACUGGCUUGUCCUUCAGGCAGUGGCACCAGUGGUGAGAAGUGAUCAGAUACUGGAUAGAUAUGAAGAGUAAAGGUAAAAAAUGUUUGCUGAUGGACUGGAUGUUAAAUGUGACGGAGACGAUUCAAGCUGGCUCCAAGCUUUUGCUUGCGCAGCUGGAAGGGUGCAUUUGUCAUCUAUUAAAAUGGCUAAAAUUGGAGGUCAACCCACUUAGGGAGGAAAGUCAAGAAGUCAGUCUUGGGCGUGUUUUAGUUUUAGAUGUUUAUUGGCCAUCCAAGGGGCGGCGUCUGGAGUUUAGAAAGUGUUUCAGGUUAGGGAUAGAAAUUUGAGGACACUUUCUUUCAGGUAGUAUUUAAAAGCCAGCAGAGAGGAUGAGAUCAGACAGGGCAUGUUAUCUAGAUAGAGUAGACAGAGGCCCAACCGUGGACAACUCAGGUACUUGGAGAUUAGGAGCAUGAAGAGGAACCAGCAAAGGAGACUUUGUGGGAGUGGCCAGUAGAGGAGGAAGAGCUCUAAGAAAGUGGUGACCUGGAGACCGAGGGAAGAUGCACCUGGUCUGCAUGAGCUCUGACCACGAGCUUUGGAAGCUUUGCCCAUCUCUGGCGGUUUAACCCCAUGUGAAAUGAAGAUGGUCCCACAAGCUUCCUCCCUUGAUGCAAGAGGAAACCAAGUCCCCACUGCCAAAAAAUGUGACGGAAAAUCAACCUAAUGACCAUUCACCCACUCCCUCUAUGCCUUGCCACAACUAAGGAAACUUAAAUAAUCUCUUCAGGUGCCGUUAAGACACACAUAUCCCCCAGAGGGUAGAGUGAGCCCAGGAGGUCAAGGUCUUUCCUCAAGGUGUGAGAGUCGUUUCUAAUGACAGGUGACCAACCUCUUCCGGCCACAUUUGAAGAGGCGUUUUCUCCCCUCGAGCUCCAGCACAAUUCUGUAUGGUAUAGAAGGAAACAAUGAGAAGUACGUACAAAUGGCAGCGGUGAGGAGCCCAAUAAUGAAGCCUGUCAUAGAUGUUGCCACAGAGGACAGACACAUAGACGUGAUGAGGGAGGAGCUCAGGAAAAGGAAAAACAAAAACAAAAACAAACAGCAACAACAAAAAUGGCUCAGACCUAGAAGAGAAGAACAAAAAAUACCAUCAGAAAAUAAAAACACCCAUUUUCUUUGCUCCAAAUAAAACCUCACACAACCAACAAAAAGCUACUUUUAAAGAUGAUUGUCACAGACUUGGUCAGACAUUGACCCUAAGUCCGCACCAGCACCAAGACUGCGACUCUAGGGUUUCAGAGGAUUUUUAAGGACAGUAGGAGGAAGUCUUCAAUUACGUUUUAUACUGGGAUUACUUUAACUUUUAAAAAAAGUGUAGGUAAAGGAAAUGAAUCGCCAUGAUUAAGGGAGGAGUGAGAGGCAGUGGAUAAAGUUUUUGAGUAAUUUAGAAAUAAAAGCUUUUAAAAACUGCUUCUGAGAAUGCAUUCUGACACUAGAAU